CAGCGCCACGAGUGGCAUACACAUUUAUUGGGCCUAAAGCGUCCGUAGCCGGUUUGGUAAAUCUUUUGUGAAACUAUUCGGCUUAACCGAAUAACGUGCAGAAGACACUGCCAAACUAGGAACCGGGAGAGGUUAGAAGUAUUCAAAGGGGAGCGGUAAAAUGCUAUAAUCCUUUGAGGACUACCAGUGGCGAAGGCGUCUAACCAGAACGGAUUCGACGGUGAGGGACGAAAGCUAGGGGAGCGAUCCGGAUUAGAUACCCGAGUAGUCC
RNAcentral lists this ribosomal RNA (271 nucleotides) under uncultured archaeon. Its description in RNAcentral is "partial 16S ribosomal RNA". It matches the Rfam family "Archaeal small subunit ribosomal RNA", at positions 477 to 747 of the family's 1478-position model. The record is from RNAcentral.